GCGCGAGUAGCUGAGUGGUUAGUGCGUUGGACUGAUGGUAUGAAGAUCGCUGGUUCGGACCCCGGCUGGUGCG
This is a non-coding RNA of Oesophagostomum dentatum (nodular worm), 73 nucleotides long. NCBI's taxonomy places the organism in Eukaryota, Metazoa, Nematoda, Chromadorea, Rhabditida, Strongylidae. The record is from the annotation of a GenBank genome assembly.